This is a long non-coding RNA of Bolinopsis microptera, 864 nucleotides long. RefSeq lists it as uncharacterized. NCBI's taxonomy places the organism in Eukaryota, Metazoa, Ctenophora, Tentaculata, Lobata, Bolinopsidae. The record is from RefSeq and is a predicted model, not a curated record. The transcript has 3 exons.
UUGUUGAAAACAUAAUGAUUCCUACACUAAUAUGAUCUUGAGGCAUGCCCUGCAUGUACUGUGCGAGUACAUUGUAAAUAAUAUCUGAUAAGAUGGGCCAAAAAUAGCGGCACAGCGCGCAAAAUGCGCGGCGUGACCGCCGAAAUUUUAUACUUUAGACAUUAACAUUUCAAUCGGCUUUAGCGCUCAGCAUAUCUUCAUUGAGUAGACAUUAGAAUUUCAGUUCGUUGGAAUCGAAGUUCAGUUCACACCAAUCUAUUUCGUCGUACCUGGACUGCAUGCCGAGUAACUCCUUUUUUAUUGUGGAUUUCACAAGGUUCGUUGAUGUAGAGAAGUUGAUAUUGCUAGCAGUGUUUCUACAAUCGUUCCACAUUUUUGUCGAUUGAUAUAUGAAGGAGGUGGAUGGGGUUGGAGUGAUGAAUCGAUCAGCACGUCUUGAUGAUCUGUUAAAUAGAUUUAGGAGUGGGACUGGGGAUUCUAAUUUAUUGAUUUUGAACAUUUCCAAUAAACAUGUGUGUUUGAACAAACUGUGUAUGGUCAAUUCUGCUAGAGUCCAAGUUUCUAUCAAAGAUUUGGAAGAUGGGUGAGUGGUGUGAUAUACGGUCAGUCAGUAUUCCAGAAGCUACUAUACUCUCUACGUCGUAACUACACUUGGGGAGACUGUCAAGGAUGUCAGAGAGUUCAGAUAGUGCAACAUUGACAUUACCACUUGGAGGACGGUACAUUACACCAACUGUUACUGGGGAAGUUGUACUACUUACGGCCACAAAAAGAGUUUCUAAAUGUUCAGUGAUAUGGGAUACAUUGCCGUUUACUCUGGCACUAAGAGUGUCACAAACAUAGAGAGCCACUCCAGUGCCCUUU